This 484-nucleotide ribosomal RNA is filed under the name uncultured bacterium. Its description in RNAcentral is "partial 16S ribosomal RNA". It matches the Rfam family "Bacterial small subunit ribosomal RNA", at positions 30 to 507 of the family's 1533-position model. The record is from RNAcentral.
AUUGAACGCUGGCGGCAGGCCUAACACAUGCAAGUCGAGCGGAUGAAGGGAGCUUGCUCCUGGAUUCAGCGGCGGACGGGUGAGUAAUGCCUAGGAAUCUGCCUGGUAGUGGGGGAUAACGUCCGGAAACGGGCGCUAAUACCGCAUACGUCCUGAGGGAGAAAGUGGGGGAUCUUCGGACCUCACGCUAUCAGAUGAGCCUAGGUCGGAUUAGCUAGUUGGUGGGGUAAAGGCCUACCAAGGCGACGAUCCGUAACUGGUCUGAGAGGAUGAUCAGUCACACUGGAACUGAGACACGGUCCAGACUCCUAAGGGAGGCAGCAGUGGGGAAUAUUGGACCAUGGGCGAAAGCCUGAUCCAGCCAUGCCGCGUGUGUGAAGAAGGUCUUCGGAUUGUAAAGCACUUUAAGUUGGGAGGAAGGGCAAUAAGUUAAUACCUUGCUGUUUUGACGUUACCAACAGAAUAAGCACCGGCUAACUUCGUG